CUGUUCCCCGAGGGCACCAGCACUGGCCGACCGACCUGGCUUGGGGCGCGGCGCUGGCAAACCCGGCCUUCUGAGGGGACGCCACGCUGACUCUAGUGCAGGCAGCCCCCAAAACGAAAAUUCCAGGCCCAGAGGGCCAAGCUGGUGAAUCCUACUUAGAGAAGAAAUAAUAGGAAUCCAGCCACUCAGACGAUGGACGAGGAGGGGCACUUCCCUGCUCGAUGUAUGGGCCAGCAUUGCCUUGAUAGCAAAGUCAGACAUCACCAGACAGUAGAACCACAGACCAAUGUCUUUCAUGAACCAAGACACAGCAUUUAAAAAAAUUAGCAAAUGGAAUUUAUAUCUGCCUAUUGUUUACAAAAAAAGCCAAACUUUGUAAAAUACUUGAAGAGAUUUAUUCUGAGCCAAAUAUGACCCAUGACACAGCCUCAGGACGUCCUGAGAACUUGGCCCAAGGCGGUUGUUUUACUGCUUGGUUUUAUUCAUUUCAGGGAGACAUAAGACAUCAGUCAGUACAUGUGAGGUGUGCAUUGGAUUGAUCCAGAAAGUCAGGACGACUCCAAGUGGAAAGGCCUCCAGAGACAGGAGACAGUAAAAGAAAUGGCCUCUCUCCUCUGUCAGAGUGGAGUCCCGAGCUCCCAGAAAUGCCACAUGAUGGACAAACGCUUGGGGGAAAAAAAAAAAAAAGGAGACCUCAGUCGGACACAAAAGCAGGAGCUUUAAAAGAAAAAAUAAGAGAUAAGUUGAACUUCACCAAAAAAUAAGCGUUUCUGGUCUUUGAAAGACACUUAAAAUGAAAAGGCAAGCCAUCGAUGGGGAAAAUACUCAGAAUAAUGGAUCUGACAGAGGGCUGUAUCUAGAAUAUAUGAAGAUAUUUUAAAAUCCAGUAAUUUGACAUAAAGAUGGUAGCCAGCCUGACACACAAAGGAACCCGAAUGGCCAAUGGACAGGAAGGGAACCCGUAUGGCCGAUGGACAGAAAGGGAAGUGAACGUGAACAUCUCAUUGGGGAUGCCGUUAUCACCACUGGAAUAGUCAAAAACAUGGACACCAAGUAUUGGUGGGUGAGUGGAAUGGCGGGAACCCACAUACACGGUCGAUGGGAGCUGCACCCUUUGGAAAUCAUUUCACAGUUUGUGCUCCAUCCUGGCCAAACCCACAGCUGGAGUCUUUCCAAAAACAGUGACGGGAGUUUCCACCAGGGAGUGCCUCAAACCAUCCCGAGAUGGGGCUGGUUGGGAUUCCAGGGAGAGGCACUCGUUGCCAGGGUGAUCCGUCCAGAGCACUUCCUAGGGGAUCUGGCAUAAGGAGGGCUGCAGUGUAUCCUCAGGACAGAUAGGACAGAUAGUGUAUCUUUGGGACAGACGGCAAGAUGGGGAUUCCACCCAGGUCUGUCUGCAGCGAGUUGAUAUGAGAGUUUAAGGAAUUUGGACCAGGGCUGCUUUGUUUCAGGGUUUUGGGCAAUGACCUAAACACCUUUAUCAGUGCCUGGGAAUGCUCAAGGCCCAGCUUGAGUUCAGGCCUGCAGGGAAAACCUGCAACUGGCCGGGCUGCAGAGUGGUCAGGGCACGGAAAGCCAGAAGCUGGGGACACACCUGCUGUAUGAUCCAGCCGUUCGUCUUUACCUGGGAGAAAUGGCACCACCUGGCUGAACAUAACUUCUUACACUCCCAUGAGUCCUCCUGGACAGGUGCUGUGACCUCGUGCAGCCUUGGGGACCCUGACACUCCCACGGACAGGCCAAGGGGUUUGCCUGGGCCCUGUGGGCACAGAGCCCCUUGAGAUGGGUUUCCCUAUGCAGCCCCCCACCCCCCACCGGGGACCCAUGGCACUGCAGCCCUCACCCCCCCUCUAGGGACCCACAACACUGCAGCCCUCGCCCCCCUCCGGGGUCCCACAGCACUGCAGCCCUCGCCCCCCAUCGGGGACCCACAGCACUGCAGCCACGCCCAGGCCACCGCCUCCAAACACAGGGCCGCUGCUGUUUCUGUGAACAGAUACUUCUUGCAGAUGUCAAUGGUUAAUGGAUGGGGAGGUGACCGCCCAAGCAGAAGCCGACCCUCUUCAUGAAGGGGCCACAGGUCACCCCGAAGCAGAAAUCCAUAGAACAGCCAAGGCCACAGCGGAACCGAGCAGGCCACGCCUCUGCCUCUGGGCCGCUCAGGGCCAGGCCUCCCUGACCCCACUGGCUCUAUUGUGAGGACUCAGGGUGGAGCUCUGCUGGGCUCAGUGGCCUUCACAGCCGGGGUCCACAGACCCGGGUCCUACGGGCAGUACUGUGCUCACCUAGAGGCCACGGUCCAUGCCCUGUCUCCAGCAGGCCCAAGUCACUUGUCCAUGGCGAAGGCCCGGCCUUGCUUCAGGCCCCGGGCGCGCUCCCCCUGCUCCCCCUGCCCACCGUUUCUUCCCAGGUGACAGAGGCGGGAGAGCAGGCGAGCCACGUGCCGGGCGCCGCAGCAGGGGGCACUCCAGGCUGGCGCCCCUCUGCCUCUCCGUGGGCUCUGACCUUUCUUCUCCCUGCCUGGGCAGCCUCCUUCAGGUUGGGGAGUCUUUUGUUGACCCCUGGAUUAAAGUCCUAAUCAGGAAUGACCCGGAAGAGGUCUUAUGAGGCUUUCCUCAAGAGAAGAAAAUCUGUCCCUGAGUAUCAGGAAGUGGCCCCUUUCCCUGCACCGCAGUCUUCUGUGACCAGCGGCUCACACAGCGAAGGAGGGGCUGGCGGCCCCCACAGGCCACUGCCCCGAGGCCGCCACGAGAGGGCAGGAGAGCCCUUCCUGGGAGCUCUGUGCCACGGGGAAACGCAGCCCCGCCAAGCACAGCAUGGAUGUUUCCAGCAGGGAAUGAAGAGAGAGGCCCCAGCACAUGAGAGAAGAGCACACUGGGCGGCCCCUGUCGGAGCCUCUCCUGUCCCCAGCGACCCCUGAGAGCAGGCCCUGGGCCUCUGCGGCCCCUCCCGGAGCCACUCUUCAACUGCUGACCUGCUCCCAGCUCUUCUGUGCCCCGCCCAGCUCCCUGCAAAACCUCACCUGAGGGGAAGGAGGCCCUGUUUGGGCUCAGACGCAGCAGGUGCAGCUUGUGGUCCUGGGGCCACACCUGUUAGAGCCCAUCCUUCUACCCCUGCUGGGCCCUGAGUGUCGUCCGUCCCCACAGAACUCAGCAGGGUCAGGUCUGGGCACUCCAGGCCGCCAGCCCCCUGAGUGAGCCCUGGGCCGGAGGUAGUUGUGGGUCACAGGCACCCCAGCCAGAACACCCACAGUGGGUAGAUGUGUGGGGACCGGAUGUGGGUCCUCUCCUGAGAGACGUGCAGAUGGGGAGAGGCUGGGCAGUUCUCAGCACAGCUGGAGCAUCUACCUGUCACCACCUCGGAGCCUCCUGGCCCCGUGGGGGCGGCCCUGGGAGCAGGGUCGGCAGUGAAGAGCAGAGAAAGGCAGUUGGGGAUGUUGCCACUGUCCCCCGAGACCACCCUGCCAUGGAGACGAGGGAGCUGUCCCUUCGCGGAAGGGGGCUGGCCAGCAAGAAGGACAGAGAGUGGACUGGCCGAGGACCGCUGAGCUCAGGACCCAAGGAGGACUCUUCUAGGAGACGAGAGAGCGAACGCCAGGGACCCUGUGCAGGCCUGCUCCUCCGUUUGCAAGGCUCCCUCCCCGAGGCCGUUCAGAAGCAUUCCUCAGCGGGUCCUACACGUUUCCUCUCCCAUGUCAAGUUUAGAAGCAGUGUCAAGACCCACAGCAGUCCUGCGGGAGUUUUAAGGGAUGCACGGAGUUUAUGGGGACAGUUUGGAAAAUUGACAUUCAUGUGACUUAGAGUCCUACUACUUGAAAAUGGAUUCCAGCUCUCAACGAAUUUAGAGCUUUGGCAAAAUUUUUAAGAUUUCUUUGAUGUCCGAUGUGCUCAUUUCUUGGUUUGUUCUUGAGUAUUUUGUGGAUUUUUAUGAAAUCCACAAAGUUUUUGUUAUAAUGAAUGGGACACUUUCCCAUAAAAUGUUGUAAUUCUGUAUUGCUGUUUUAGUAAACACUGUUGAUUGAUGUAUAUUGAUGUUACACUUGGUCACUUGUAAUAGUUUGUCCGUUCAUUAUUUUGAACUUUUUAGGUAAACAGUCAUAUAAUUAUGCAAAUAAUUAUAGUUGUGUCUCUGCCUUUCUAAUAUUUAUACUUUGUGUAUAUUAUCAUGUUGGCCAGGACUCAAGCGUCUUUCUCUUGUUUCUGACUAAUGCGAAUGAUUCUAAUGCAGGGGUUUCCAAACUGGUGGCCGGGGGGCCAAAUCCAGCCAAUGGUCUCUUCUUGUAAAUAAAGUUUUAUUGGAACACAGUUACACACAUUUUUCUACAUAUUGUCUGAUGGCUACUGUCACGCCACAGCAAUGCUGUUAAAUAGUCCAGACAGAGGCGGUAUUGCCCGAAAAACCUAGAAUAUUCACCAUCUGAGCUUUUACGGGAAAAUUUGCUAAUAUCUGUUCUCAUGCAUUAAAUACAAUGUUUGUUACAGGUUAAGGAAGUUUCUGACUAUUUUUAGCUUUCUGAAUAUCUUGUGGUUGUGUGUGCUUUAAAAUUAGGACUAAAUAUUAAAUUUACCAGUUGCUUGUUAGGGGCCUAUCUUUUGAGAUGCCCAAAGUUUCCCUUUUUUAGUCUCUUCAUGUAGUGAGUUGUACUAACAGAUUCUCUAAUGUUGAACCGUCUUUGCUUUCCGGAGAUAGACUUUACUUGCUCCUGGUGGAUUGGAUUCUGUUUGUUAAUACUUUUAUUUUUGGGUAAUUACAUCCCUAUUAUAAAUAAUAUGUCAGCAUCAUUGUGUGUAGAUGUGUGUGUGUUAUUCUUGCCAUUAGUUUCUCAGGUUUUUGGUUAACUAUUGAUAUGGUUUGGAUCUGUGUCCCCACCCAAAUCCGAUGUUGAAUUGUAAUCCCCAGUGUUGGAGGUGUGGCCUGGUGGGAGGUGGUUGGAUCAUGGGAGUGAAUUUCUCAUGA
This 4956-nucleotide long non-coding RNA is filed under the name Homo sapiens (human). RNAcentral describes it as "non-protein coding LINC00205:13". The record is from RNAcentral. Lineage: Eukaryota; Metazoa; Chordata; Mammalia; Primates; Hominidae.